CUUGAGGCGCCUCCAGUAUCACUACUGUCAAUACAAGCCGGCGGGAAGCUAGUGUGUGUGGAGCGUCGAAUCCUGCCCUGGGGUCCUGGCUCCUCCGGCCACUGGAGGCCUCCGGGAAUUGCGUUACAAUCAUCCAUCCUACCGCGCUUUCCUGGUGGACGCCGAACUCCGCCGCAGACACGAGUCACCUCUGAUUUACUGCUGCACCUCACAGCCUGGCGAAGUGGGGACCCUAGUCUGUGCUCAGCAAAGGUUUGUUGAAUGAAGCACAGCUUUAUAAAGACUGGACCCAGAGUGUGGUGGCUUCACAACUACCUUAGGAGGUUUAAAAAUGAUCUGAAGGUCAGGAGCCAAGGUCGGCUAAUCAGGAGAACAAAGACAGCAACUCAGCCCUGAUAAAGAUUCUGCCAAAUCUGUGACUCCUUCUGGCCUCACUUUGCUAUCUCAUAAUAGGAACUGGCUGCCCCCAUCAUCUGAAUGGCUUACAGAGGUCACUAAAAUUAAUAAUUAAUAGGAGAGAUUCAAAUGACGGAAUUUCCCUACACCACACUCCUACUAAACAAUUAAUAAUACAGCAAUACCCGUGAGCCACAGCCAACCCGCUUUCUGCUGUUCCCAGCGAAGGACCGGCUGUUCCUCAGGGUCUCCGGGUUCAUUCUGCUUUCGUGGCCUCGUGGACACUGCUCUCUCCUCUUGAAAUACACCCCUGCCCCUGUUCUGGCCAAGUCCUCCCUGCGGUCCGGGAUUCGGCUGCUGGGUCGCUUCAUCCUCAAUCUAGAUUCAGAAAUAGCCUCUGUUCCAGAGCUGUUUUGUAAACAGAAAACUGCACUUUGCGGCCAGGCCUCAGAGCACUCUGGUCACGUCGUGAAGGCCGAGUGCAGAGGAGCAGAGGGAAGGGAUGGAAAGAAGAGUGGAAGGUGAAGAGGAAAACUACUUCCCAGAAUAAGAAAAAGUCACAAAACACGGCUUCUCAUUGUGAUUCUGAAAUUCCAAGGUGUCUCACUGUCUCACUUGGCCCGAACUAGAGAGAAAUGAAGUGUGCCUCCAAACAACAGAUCUCUGGUGGAAUGAGACCCCAAAAAUCCAAAGGAAAGACUGAAUUUUUUUCCCAUAUGAAUUUCUUUUGGCAUCUGUGUGUAUGAAUCAGACGAUUGUGAGCAUCGCGUUUUAGUUCCCAAGGUGACCGUUUUCCCCUCGUUUUGGGUUAUAUAAGCCAAUGGCUUCCACUGUUUGGGGGGUGUGUAUGGGUGGCCAGGGCCAAGGCCCAGGAAAUUGCAAGAUAACAUUUGUAACAUUGUGCACGGUCAAGGUGUGAAAGAUGAUGAAGCCAAAAGAACAGACUUUGGAGAAAUGUUCGCUCGCCAAAUCUGAACCUUUUUGAGAAUUAAUUUUUAAAAAUUCAAUGUAAAACUUUAUAACUUAAAAAAGUGUUUAUUUGUUUUGAGAGAGAGAGAGAGAGAGAGAGAGAGCGAGCCCGGCUUGGUGGGUGAUGAUCAAACCAUGAGUCUGCUGCUCAACCAACGGAGCCAUUCAGGCACCCCGAGCUUUAAAACCUUUUGAUUAAAAUGUCAACCCACAGUGGUACGGACAACUGUCUUUUAUACAGAAAGAAAUAAAAGCCUUUCCUCAUAA
Long non-coding RNA from Suricata suricatta (meerkat), 1632 nucleotides. RefSeq lists it as uncharacterized. NCBI's taxonomy places the organism in Eukaryota, Metazoa, Chordata, Mammalia, Carnivora, Herpestidae. The transcript has 3 exons. The record is from RefSeq and is a predicted model, not a curated record.